UACGAAGGGGGCUAGCGUUGCUCGGAAUCACUGGGCGUAAAGGGUGCGUAGGCGGGUUUUUAAGUCAGGGGUGAAAUCCUGGAGCUCAACUCCAGAACUGCCUUCGAUACUGGCAAUCUUGAGUCCGGGAGAGGUGAGUGGAACUCCGAGUGUAGAGGUGAAAUUCGUAGAUAUUCGGAAGAACACCAGUGGCGAAGGCGGCUCACUGGCCCGAUACUGACGCUGAGGCACGAAAGCGUGGGGAGCAAACAGG
RNAcentral lists this ribosomal RNA (253 nucleotides) under uncultured bacterium. Its description in RNAcentral is "partial 16S ribosomal RNA". It matches the Rfam family "Bacterial small subunit ribosomal RNA", at positions 524 to 776 of the family's 1533-position model. The record is from RNAcentral.